GCGUCUGUAGCCUAGUGGCAAAGGCAGCACUCUAGCACACUGAGGUCAUGGGUUCGAAUCCCAUCAGACACA
Molecule: transfer RNA, 72 nt
Filed under: Melampsora larici-populina 98AG31
Lineage: Eukaryota; Fungi; Basidiomycota; Pucciniomycetes; Pucciniales; Melampsoraceae
Description: tRNA-Ala (AGC) (tRNA-Ala-AGC-5-1)
Rfam family: tRNA
About the family: Transfer RNA (tRNA) molecules are approximately 80 nucleotides in length. Their secondary structure includes four short double-helical elements and three loops (D, anti-codon, and T loops).
Source: RNAcentral